Molecule: non-coding RNA, 315 nt
Organism: Pelobates cultripes (western spadefoot toad)
Lineage: Eukaryota; Metazoa; Chordata; Amphibia; Anura; Pelobatidae
Source: the annotation of a GenBank genome assembly
GGUGGGGGCGCGGAAGGGGUUGUAUUUUCAGCAAAGUAGUGUUGAAGGGAUGUUUGUAGUUUGUCGACUAUGUUGGAGUCGUUGAGCAGUAGGUCAUUGAGUUUCCAUUGAAAUGAUCUCUGCGGGAGUGUAGGGAUUUGUACGGCAAGAGCCAGGGGUCCGUGGUCUAACCAUGUAAUCGGGCCAUAAACAAUGUAUUGUACCAGGUGGAGGAAUCUGUGCAGUAGGAAGAACAUGUCUAGCCUGGAGUAGGUUUGCGUGGCUGGUGAGAAGGAGUAAUCCCUGUCAUAUGGGUGAGUAGUGCGCCAGCAGUCG